GCUGGCGUAGCUCAGGGGUAGAGCAGCUGAUUUGUAAUCAGCAGGUCGGGGGUUCGAAUCCUCUCGCCAGCUCCA
RNAcentral lists this transfer RNA (75 nucleotides) under Acidobacteriota bacterium. RNAcentral describes it as "Acidobacteria bacterium tRNA-Thr". It matches the Rfam family "tRNA". From Rfam's summary of the family: Transfer RNA (tRNA) molecules are approximately 80 nucleotides in length. Their secondary structure includes four short double-helical elements and three loops (D, anti-codon, and T loops). Further hydrogen bonds mediate the characteristic L-shaped molecular structure. tRNAs have two regions of fundamental functional importance: the anti-codon, which is responsible for specific mRNA codon recognition, and the 3' end, to which the tRNAs corresponding amino acid is attached (by aminoacyl-tRNA synthetases). tRNAs cope with the degeneracy of the genetic code in two manners: having more than one tRNA (with a specific anti-codon) for a particular amino acid; and 'wobble' base-pairing, i.e. permitting non-standard base-pairing at the 3rd anti-codon position. Lineage: Bacteria; Pseudomonadati; Acidobacteriota. The record is from RNAcentral. RNAcentral also lists the same sequence under 1 other name.